RNAcentral lists this ribosomal RNA (253 nucleotides) under uncultured bacterium. RNAcentral describes it as "partial 16S ribosomal RNA". It matches the Rfam family "Bacterial small subunit ribosomal RNA", at positions 524 to 776 of the family's 1533-position model. The record is from RNAcentral.
UACGAAGGGGGCUAGCGUUGCUCGGAAUCACUGGGCGCAAAGGGUGCGUAGGCGGGUCUUUAAGUCAGGGGGGAAAUCCUGGAGCUCAACUCCAGAACUGCCUUUGAUACUGAGGAUCUUGAGUUCGGGAGAGGUGAGUGGAACUGCGAGUGUAGAGGUGAAAUUCGUAGAUAUUCGCAAGAACACCAGUGGCGAAGGCGGCUCACUGGCCCGAUACUGACGCUGAGGCACGAAAGCGUGGGGAGCAAACAGG